RNAcentral lists this ribosomal RNA (397 nucleotides) under uncultured bacterium. RNAcentral describes it as "partial 16S ribosomal RNA". It matches the Rfam family "Bacterial small subunit ribosomal RNA", at positions 523 to 918 of the family's 1533-position model. The record is from RNAcentral.
AUACGUAGGGGGCGAGCGUUGUCCGGCAUGAUUGGGCGUAAAGGGCGCGUAGGCGGCCCGGUAAGUCUGGAGUGAAAGUCCUGUUUUUAAGAUGGGAAUUGCUUUGGAUACUGUCGGGCUUGAGUGCAGGAGAGGUAAGUGGAAUUCCCAGUGUAGCGGUGAAAUGCGUAGAGAUUGGGAGGAACACCAGUGGCGAAGGCGACUUACUGGACUGUAACUGACGCUGAGGCGCGAAAGUGUGGGGAGCGAACAGGAUUAGAUACCCUGGUAGUCCACACUGUAAACGAUGAAUGCUAGGUGUAGGGGGUAUCGACCCCUUCUGUGCCGCAGUCAACACAAUAAGCAUUCCGCCUGGGGAGUACGGCCGCAAGGUUGAAACUCAAAUGAAUUGACGGGG